Molecule: non-coding RNA, 106 nt
Organism: Acanthosepion pharaonis
Lineage: Eukaryota; Metazoa; Mollusca; Cephalopoda; Sepiida; Sepiidae
Source: the annotation of a GenBank genome assembly
AGGUCAUAUCACGUUGAAGCCCCGGUUCCCGUACGAUCGCCAAAGUUAAGCAACGUCGAGCCUGGUCAUUACCGAGAUGGGUGACCGCUUGGGAAUAAUACGUGCU